Molecule: ribosomal RNA, 22 nt
Filed under: Potamogeton berchtoldii subsp. gemmiparus x Potamogeton vaseyi
Lineage: Eukaryota; Viridiplantae; Streptophyta; Magnoliopsida; Alismatales; Potamogetonaceae
Description: partial 26S ribosomal RNA
Source: RNAcentral
CCACGUCAGGCUAGAUCACCCG